UCCUACGGGAGGCAGCAGUGGGGAAUAUUGGACAAUGGGCGCAAGCCUGAUCCAGCAAUACCGCGUGUGUGAAGAAGGCCUUAGGGUUGUAAAGCACUUUCAAUUGGGAGGAAAACCUGCCGGUCAAUACCCGGUAGCUUGACAUUACCUUUAGAAGAAGCACCGGCUAACUCCGUGCCAGCAGCCGCGGUAAUACGGAGGGUGCGAGCGUUAAUCGGAAUUACUGGGCGUAAAGCGUGCGUAGGCGGUUCGUUAAGUCAGAUGUGAAAGCCCUGGGCUCAACCUGGGAACGGCAUUUGAAACUGGCGGACUAGAGUUUAGUAGAGGGGAGUGGAAUUUCAGGUGUAGCGGUGAAAUGCGUAGAUAUCUGAAGGAACACCAGUGGCGAAGGCGACUCCCUGGACUAGAACUGACGCUGAGGUACGAAAGCGUGGGUAGCAAACAGGAUUAGAUACCCUGGUAGA
RNAcentral lists this ribosomal RNA (464 nucleotides) under uncultured bacterium. Its description in RNAcentral is "bacterial SSU rRNA". It matches the Rfam family "Bacterial small subunit ribosomal RNA", at positions 337 to 794 of the family's 1533-position model. The record is from RNAcentral.